UGCAGUGAGCAUCAGCAGACAACGCUGUCCCUAUGGGCAGGCCUGUAAACUUGUGAGACCACAUCGGGCUCCCAACUCUGCCUUCAAAGGGCUCAUGGCCAGGGGCAGAAGAGGCCACCACUCCCAAGACACCCAUCCCCAGAGUCCAGAGGCCCUGAACCUAACUCACCAUGACACCUGCAGAUUAUUUACUGUGGUCGGGGGAGGGCAUGUCUAUGAUGUCAUCAGCUACCUAGCUUCUAAUAGGUGAGAGUGCUGUGGAGAAGCUGAGAAGUGGGGUCAGAGAGCACAUCACCAAGGGAGACACAAGAACAGACUGUUGGAGCCAGCAAGCUGCAACCAGCAAUCCUGGGUGCCUAGACAGCGAGCUCAGAUCUGCUGCUCAUCACAAGCCUGGACCUCCAGCAGCACUUCUCUGCCUCGGCUCUGACAGCCUUGGCGAUUGCUUCCCUGCCCCCUCUCCAGCAGCGAACCGGGUGCUCAGAGAGGUUAAGAAAAGAAUCCAAAGCUUCUCAGUGGCAGAGUCCCAGACAAGUGAAGAAUCCUGCCCUCUUCACCUCAUGCUUCAGCCUUCUACAAUCUCAAGCAGGAACCUGGCACUCCACUGAGGUGCCUCAGGACCCUUCCCUCUGGAGGUGGAAGAUGGAGUCGCUGCAAUCUAACUUGAAUACGACUCCUGCAGAGCAUGGCAGGUGCGGAGGCUCACCUCGUCCGGAGCAUGUAUCUCCCUCCUCACUUCCAGCACCCAGAACCACACACACACACAGCAGGCUGGCCAUGGGUCCUGCUGAGGGUCCUGUGGGGGGUCCGUGGGUCUGUGAACAGCUUUAAUUCAACAGCUCAGCUGGUCUACCCAGGUACUCUUCAUUUCACCCCCUGGUGGACACUUAUUAACCCAGUUAUCCCCUUUUCCAGAGGGGAAAGCUGAGGCUCAGAGAGGAAGGGCCCAGGAAAAGGCUGGUCCUCCCUGCAUUUAGGAGCUGGAAGUCUGAUCUAGGCAAAGCCUGGGGUGGGUGGUUUAUGGCCCAAAAGCAGAGGGGAUGACAGCUGUGGGGAGGAAGGGGCCAGCGAGGCUGUUGGCCUCUCUCCUAGCACCUGGUCAUGUUUGACAAUGAGGGGAGGGAGGCUUGCCCCAUGGAAAGCAGCUAUCAGACUGAGUAAAUGAAGCACCAGACCCUUAAACAAUGACACUUCAGAGAAGAAAGCAUCCUUUCUUGUAUGGCAUAAGUUUACCUCAUA
Non-coding RNA from Myodes glareolus (Bank vole), 1239 nucleotides. NCBI's taxonomy places the organism in Eukaryota, Metazoa, Chordata, Mammalia, Rodentia, Cricetidae. The record is from RefSeq and is a predicted model, not a curated record.